UGAACGCUGGCGGCGUGCCUAACACAUGCAAGUCGUACGAGAAAUCUUUCGCUUGCGGAAGAGAGUAAAGUGGCGCACGGGUGAGUAACACGUGGGUAAUCUACCUCCGAGUUCGGAAUAACUUCGCGAAAGCGACGCUAAUACCGGAUAAUAUCCAAGGCACCUUGGUGUUUUUGAUCAAAGGUGGCCUCUACAUGUAAGCUACCGCUUGGGGAUGAGUCCGCGUGCCAUUAGCUUGUUGGUAGGGUAACGGCCUACCAAGGCGACAAUGGCUAGCUGGUCUGAGAGGAUGAUCAGCCACACUGGAACUGAGACACGGUCCAGACUCCUACGGGAGGCAGCAGUGAGGAAUUUUGCGCAAUGGGGGAAACCCUGACGCAGCAACGCCGCGUGAGUGAAGAAGGCCUUCGGGUCGUAAAGCUCUGUCAAGUGGGAAGAACCUGCCCUGUAUUAAUACCACAGGGGACUGACGGUACCACUGAAGGAAGCACCGGCUAACUCC
This 502-nucleotide ribosomal RNA is filed under the name uncultured bacterium. RNAcentral describes it as "bacterial SSU rRNA". It matches the Rfam family "Bacterial small subunit ribosomal RNA", at positions 30 to 504 of the family's 1533-position model. The record is from RNAcentral.